GACGAACGCUGGCGGCGUGCUUAACACAUGCAAGUCGAACGGAAAGGCCCCCUUGUGGGGUACUCGAGUGGCGAACGGGUGAGUAACACGUGAGUAACCUACCCUUGACUUUGGGAUAACUUCAGGAAACUGGGGCUAAUACCGGAUAGGAGCUCCUGCUGCAUGGUGGGGGUUGGAAAGUUUCGGCGGUUGGGGAUGGACUCGCGGCUUAUCAGCUUGUUGGUGGGGUAGUGGCUCACCAAGGCUUUGGCGGGUAGCCGGCCUGAGAGGGUGACCGGCCACAUUGGGACUGAGAUACGGCCCAGACUCCUACGGGAGGCAGCAGUGGGGAAUAUUGCACAAUGGGCGGAAGCCUGAUGCAGCAACGCCGCGUGCGGGAUGACGGCCUUCGGGUUGUAAACCGCUUUCGCCUGUGACGAAGCGUGAGUGACGGUAAUGGGUAAAGAAGCACCGGCUAACUACGUG
RNAcentral lists this ribosomal RNA (465 nucleotides) under uncultured bacterium. Its description in RNAcentral is "partial 16S ribosomal RNA". It matches the Rfam family "Bacterial small subunit ribosomal RNA", at positions 28 to 507 of the family's 1533-position model. The record is from RNAcentral.